AACGAACGCUGGCGGCAUGCCUAACACAUGCCAGUCGAACGAGACCUUCGGGUCUAGUGGCGCACGGGUGCGUAACGCGUGGGAACCUGCCCUUAGGUUCGGAAUAACUCCCCGAAAGGGGUGCUAAUACCGGAUAAUGUCUUCGGACCAAAGAUUUAUCGCCUUUGGAUGGGCCCGCGUUGGAUUAGCUAGUUGGUAGGGUAAAAGCCUACCAAGGCGACGAUCCAUAGCUGGUCUGAGAGGAUGAUCAGCCACACUGGGACUGAGACACGGCCCAGACUCCUACGGGAGGCAGCAGUGGGGAAUAUUGGACAAUGGGCGAAAGCCUGAUCCAGCAAUGCCGCGUGAGUGAUGAAGGCCUUAGGGUUGUAAAGCUCUUUUACCCGGGAUGAUAAUGACAGUACUGGGAGAAUAAGCUCCGGCUAACUCCGUG
Molecule: ribosomal RNA, 433 nt
Filed under: uncultured bacterium
Lineage: Bacteria
Description: partial 16S ribosomal RNA
Rfam family: Bacterial small subunit ribosomal RNA
Source: RNAcentral